RNAcentral lists this ribosomal RNA (1045 nucleotides) under Colletotrichum gloeosporioides. RNAcentral's name for it is "partial small subunit ribosomal RNA". Lineage: Eukaryota; Fungi; Ascomycota; Sordariomycetes; Glomerellales; Glomerellaceae. The record is from RNAcentral.
GGAGCCCAAGCACUUUGAUUUCUCGUAAGGUGCCGAACGAGUCAAAAAAUAACAUCGUCCGAUCCCUAGUCGGCAUAGUUUAUGGUUAAGACUACGACGGUAUCUGAUCGUCUUCGAUCCCCUAACUUUCGUUCCUGAUAAAUGAAAACAUCCUUGGCAAAUGCUUUCGCAGUAGUUAGUCUUCAAUAAAUCCAAGAAUUUCACCUCUGACAAUUGAAUACUGAUGCCCCCGACUGUCCCUAUUAAUCAUUACGGCGGUCCUAGAAACCAACAAAAUAGAACCGCACGUCCUAUUUCAUUAUUCCAUGCUAAUGUAUUCGAGCAUAGGCCUGCCUGGAGCACUCUAAUUUUUUCAAAGUAAAAGUCCUUUCCCCGCCACACCCAGUGAAGGGCAUGGGGUUCCACAGAGGGAAAGGCCCGGCCGGACCAGUGCACGCGGUGAGGCGGACCGGCCAGCCAGGCCCAAGGUUCUACUACGAGCUUUUUAACCACAACAACUUUAAUAUACGCUAUUGGAGCUGGAAUUACCGCGGCUGCUGGCACCANACUUGCCCUCCAAUUGUUCCUCGUUAAGGGAUUUAAAUUGUACUCAUUCCAAUUACAAGACCCAAAAGAGCCCUGUAUCAGUAUUUAUCGUCACUACCUCCCCGUGUCGGGAUUGGGUAAUUUGCGCGCCUGCUGCCUUCCUUGGAUGUAGUAGCCGUUUCUCAGGCUCCUUCUCCGGGGUCGAGCCCUAACCCUCCGUUACCCGUUGUAACCAUGCUAGAACACUACUCUAGCAUCGAAAGUUGAUAGGGAAGAAAUUUGAAUGAACCAUCGCCGGCGCAAGGCCAUGCGAUUCGAGAAGUUAUUAUGAAUCACCAGUGAGCCCCGAAGGGCAUUGGUUUUUAAUCUAAUAAAUACAUCCCUUCGUAAGUCGGGAUUUUUAGCAUGUAUUAGCUCUAGAAUUACCACGGUUAUCCAAGUAGUAAGGUACUAUCAAAUAAACGAUAACUUAUAUAAUGAGCCAUUCGCAGUUUCGCUGUAUAAUUGCUUAUACUUAGAC